RNAcentral lists this ribosomal RNA (498 nucleotides) under uncultured bacterium. RNAcentral's name for it is "bacterial SSU rRNA". It matches the Rfam family "Bacterial small subunit ribosomal RNA", at positions 8 to 526 of the family's 1533-position model. The record is from RNAcentral.
AGAGUUUGAUCAUGGCUCAGAAUGAACGCUGGCGGCGUGCCUAACACAUGCAAGUCGAGCGCGAAAGUUCCUUCGGGAGCAAGUAGAGCGGCGAACGGGUGAGGAACACGUGAGAAUCUGCCCUUUGGUGAAGAAUACCACCGAGAAAUCGGUAUUAAUACUGCAUAAGUCCCUCCGGGGAGAAAGGUGGCUUUUAUGCUGCCGCCAUAGGAUGAGCUUGCGCGCUAUUAGCUAGUUGGUGAGGUAACGGCUCACCAAGGCGAUGAUGGCUAACCGGCCUGAGAGGGUGAACGGUCACACUGGAACUGAGACACGGUCCAGGGCCCUACGGGGGGCAGCAAUUAGGAAUCUUGCACAAUGGGGGAAACCCUGAUGCAGCGACGCCGCGUGAGGGAUGACGGAUUUCGGUCUGUAAACCUCUUUUAUCGGGGACGAAGAAUGUGACGGUACCCGAAGAAUAAGCCCCGGCUAACUACGUGCCAGCCGCCGCGGUAAUAC